This 446-nucleotide ribosomal RNA is filed under the name uncultured bacterium. Its description in RNAcentral is "partial 16S ribosomal RNA". It matches the Rfam family "Bacterial small subunit ribosomal RNA", at positions 338 to 795 of the family's 1533-position model. The record is from RNAcentral.
CCUACGGGCGGCAGCAGUAGGGAAUUUUCGGCAAUGGGGGGAACCCUGACCGAGCAACGCCGCGUGAACGAAGAAGUUCUUCGUAAUGUAAAGUUCUUUUAACAGGGAAGAAAGAGAAAUUUGACGGUACCUGAAGAAUAAGCUCCGGCUAACUACGUGCCAGCAGCCGCGGUAAUACGUAGGGAGCGAGCGUUAUCCGUAAGUAUUGGGCGUAAAGGGUGGGUAGAUGGAAUAGAAAGUCUUUUGUAAAAAUGCUGGGCUAAACCCAGUAGGGCAAAAGAUACUGCAAAGCUAGAGUAUGACAGAGGCAAGUGGAACUACAUGUGUAGCGGUAAAAUGCGUAGAUAUAUGUAAGAACACCAGUGGCGAAGGCGGCUUGCUGGGUCGAUACUGACAUUGAGGCACGAAAGCGUGGGGAGCAAACAGGAUUAGAUACCCUGGUAGUC